RNAcentral lists this ribosomal RNA (681 nucleotides) under Bacillus licheniformis. RNAcentral's name for it is "bacterial SSU rRNA". It matches the Rfam family "Bacterial small subunit ribosomal RNA", at positions 199 to 865 of the family's 1533-position model. The record is from RNAcentral. Lineage: Bacteria; Bacillati; Bacillota; Bacilli; Caryophanales; Bacillaceae.
AUAGAAGGAUGGCUUUCAGCUAUCACUAGCAGAUGGACCCGCGGCGCAUUAGCUAGUUGGUGAGGUAACGGCUCACCAAGGCGACGAUGCGUAGCCGACCUGAGAGGGUGAUCGGCCACACUGGGACUGAGACACGGCCCAGACUCCUACGGGAGGCAGCAGUAGGGAAUCUUCCGCAAUGGACGAAAGUCUGACGGAGCAACGCCGCGUGAGUGAUGAAGGUUUUCGGAUCGUAAAACUCUGUUGUUAGGGAAGAACAAGUACCGUUCGAAUAGGGCGGUACCUUGACGGUACCUAACCAGAAAGCCACGGCUAACUACGUGCCAGCAGCCGCGGUAAUACGUAGGUGGCAAGCGUUGUCCGGAAUUAUUGGGCGUAAAGCGCGCGCAGGCGGUUUCUUAAGUCUGAUGUGAAAGCCCCCGGCUCAACCGGGGAGGGUCAUUGGAAACUGGGGAACUUGAGUGCAGAAGAGGAGAGUGGAAUUCCACGUGUAGCGGUGAAAUGCGUAGAGAUGUGGAGGAACACCAGUGGCGAAGGCGACUCUCUGGUCUGUAACUGACGCUGAGGCGCGAAAGCGUGGGGAGCGAACAGGAUUAGAUACCCUGGUAGUCCACGCCGUAAACGAUGAGUGCUAAGUGUUAGAGGGUUUCCGCCCUUUAGUGCUGCAGCAAACGCAUAAGC